Small nuclear RNA from Jaculus jaculus (lesser Egyptian jerboa), 107 nucleotides. NCBI's taxonomy places the organism in Eukaryota, Metazoa, Chordata, Mammalia, Rodentia, Dipodidae. The record is from Ensembl.
GUGCUCCCUUCAGCAGCACAUACACUAAAGUUGGAACAAUACAGAGAGGAUUAGCAUGGUCCCUGUACGUGGAUGACACGCAAAUUUAUGAAGUAUUCCAUAUUUUU